RNAcentral lists this ribosomal RNA (580 nucleotides) under Trichoderma atroviride. Its description in RNAcentral is "eukaryotic LSU rRNA". It matches the Rfam family "Eukaryotic large subunit ribosomal RNA", at positions 23 to 626 of the family's 3401-position model. The record is from RNAcentral. Lineage: Eukaryota; Fungi; Ascomycota; Sordariomycetes; Hypocreales; Hypocreaceae.
ACCCGCUGAACUUAAGCAUAUCAAUAAGCGGAGGAAAAGAAACCAACAGGGAUUGCCCCAGUAACGGCGAGUGAAGCGGCAACAGCUCAAAUUUGAAAUCUGGCCCCUAGGGUCCGAGUUGUAAUUUGUAGAGGAUGCUUUUGGUGAGGUGCCGCCCGAGUUCCCUGGAACGGGACGCCGCAGAGGGUGAGAGCCCCGUCUGGCUGGCCACCGAGCCUCUGUAAAGCUCCUUCGACGAGUCGAGUAGUUUGGGAAUGCUGCUCAAAAUGGGAGGUAUAUGUCUUCUAAAGCUAAAUAUUGGCCAGAGACCGAUAGCGCACAAGUAGAGUGAUCGAAAGAUGAAAAGCACCUUGAAAAGAGGGUUAAACAGUACGUGAAAUUGUUGAAAGGGAAGCGCUUGUGACCAGACUUGGGCGCGGCGGAUCAUCCGGGGUUCUCCCCGGUGCACUUCGCCGUGUUCAGGCCAGCAUCAGUUCGGCGCGGGGGAAAAAGGCUUCGGGAACGUGGCUCCUCCGGGAGUGUUAUAGCCCGUUGCAUAAUACCCUGCGCUGGACUGAGGACCGCGCAUCUGCAAGGAUGC